AUGGAGGUUUGGGUUUCAAUUUUCAACUUGGCCCUCUUAGCUAAGCAAGCUUGGUGUAUACUUGAUAGCCCAUAAUCUUUAAGUGCCAGGAUUUUGAAGGCCAUAUAUUUCUCUAACUUGGAGUUUUUGGAUGCUGAGAUUGGUACACGCCCUUCUCAAAUCUACAGAUCUUUGUUGGAUGGGCGGGACAUUAUGAAGCAACGCCUCAUCAAAAGGAUAGGGAAUGGAUCUACUACUGAAAUAUGGAACAUGAACUGGUUUCCAAGGCUGGAAAAUAUGCGCCCGAUUGUCUCGUUAGUAGAAAUCCGGAAAAUAUGCGCCCGAUUGUCUCGUUAG
Molecule: ribosomal RNA, 336 nt
Filed under: Triticum aestivum (bread wheat)
Lineage: Eukaryota; Viridiplantae; Streptophyta; Magnoliopsida; Poales; Poaceae
Description: partial small subunit ribosomal RNA
Source: RNAcentral